ACCCACUGGCUCUUAUGAGACAUCCUGUUAUAGACUUAACUGGCUGGCACUACACAUUCCACAAACUGGGGCUGAUUCAAGUAUGUGAAGGGGAAACUGUUAUUCCUGCAGCCAUCCCAUGUGUAUUUUGGCUUUCUGAAGUGCUGGUCUCUAUGACGAGGUAAACAUCAGGCUCCAAGCUUCAAUGACGAGAAGGGAAAAUGGUCUAUUUUCGGACUUUCCUGAUGCCCAGCUCGAGUGUGAUGAAUGUUAAUUGUAUGCACCGCGGUGUUUCUGUGAGAAAGGCCACUUGUGAUGGAGUCAGACUGGUUACCUUUUGAAAAAUAUUCCUCCGAGUGAUGCUCAAAAGCAUUCCAGUGAGUUUGCUGAACCUGGGUAGAGCUAGAAGAUUUACAAAGGGAUCCAGGUGGGCAGGAGCUGGAACAGAGCAAUGGGAGCUCACUCGAGGAUUCGAACUGCCGACCUUCUGAUCGGCAAGCCCGAGAGGCUCAGUAGUUUAGACCACAGCGCCACCCGACUGCCCCUUCCAACAUUCAACACUUAACCUGAAGGCAAAACAACGUCUACGAUGAACAGAAGCACCCAGUCCUGCAAUGAUGUCUGCACAGGUCUAGUGGCUUCCUACAUAAAAUGCCAUUGAUGUUGGGAGAUGUGUUAAAAUUGGG
This is a long non-coding RNA of Zootoca vivipara (common lizard), 665 nucleotides long. RefSeq lists it as uncharacterized. NCBI's taxonomy places the organism in Eukaryota, Metazoa, Chordata, Lepidosauria, Squamata, Lacertidae. The record is from RefSeq and is a predicted model, not a curated record.